AGCGUGUGGUUUAAUUCGAUGCAAGCGAAGAACCUUUACCAGGGUUUGCAUGCUUAAAGUAGGAACUCGAAAGAGGGACGACCUGUAUCCAGUCAGGAGUUUGCACAGGUGCUGCAUGGCUGUCGUCAGCUCGUGCCGUGAGGUGUUAGGUUAAGUCCUGCAACGAGCGCAACCCUCGUCGCUAGUUGCUUUCUCUAGCGAUACUGCCCGUAUAACGUGGAGGAAGGUGGGGAUGACGUCAAGUCAGCAUGGCCCUUACAUCCUGGGCUACACACACGCUACAAUGGGUGAUACAACAGGUUGCAAUAGAGUAAUCUGGAGCCAAUCCCUAAAAUCAUCCUCAGUACGGAUUGCAGGCUGCAACUGCCUGCAUGAAGUUGGAGUUGCUAGUAAACGCAGGUCAGCACACUGCGUUGAAUACGUUCUCGGGCCUU
RNAcentral lists this ribosomal RNA (434 nucleotides) under uncultured Chloroflexota bacterium. RNAcentral's name for it is "bacterial SSU rRNA". It matches the Rfam family "Bacterial small subunit ribosomal RNA", at positions 936 to 1382 of the family's 1533-position model. The record is from RNAcentral. Lineage: Bacteria; Bacillati; Chloroflexota.